Molecule: transfer RNA, 64 nt
Filed under: Cucujoidea sp. 22 KM-2017
Lineage: Eukaryota; Metazoa; Arthropoda; Insecta; Coleoptera
Description: tRNA-Ala
Rfam family: tRNA
About the family: Transfer RNA (tRNA) molecules are approximately 80 nucleotides in length. Their secondary structure includes four short double-helical elements and three loops (D, anti-codon, and T loops).
Source: RNAcentral
AGGAUAAAAGUUUAAAACAUUUAAUUUGCAAUUAAAAUAUAUUGAUUCUAAUCAAUUUAUCUUA